RNAcentral lists this long non-coding RNA (1729 nucleotides) under Homo sapiens (human). Its description in RNAcentral is "long non-coding RNA NONHSAT155969.1". The record is from RNAcentral. Lineage: Eukaryota; Metazoa; Chordata; Mammalia; Primates; Hominidae.
CUCCCUCUUCGCUCUUGUUUCUUUAACUUAUUUCCCUUCCUCAUUUUCCCUUUCUUUUCGUUCGCUUUUCCUUGUCACUCUCCUUCUUGUUCUCUUCUGUCUCUUUCUGUAUCUCCCUCUUCCAUUUUGGCCCCUUCUCUGCCUCUGGGUUUCCCUUUCCCGGGCCCCUCACUCUUCCUGGGCUAGGAUUGCGCCGUCUCCCUGCAUCAUUUUUCCUGGCUCCGCUGCCUCUUUCUCACUUUUUCGUUCUCCCGGCGGCCACCGUCUGGCGGGCUUGGGUCCGGCUCCCCCGCCGCCGCAGUGAUUUAUUCGCUUCACCCGGCGGAAUCAGGUGCUGAACCGAGCCCCGGAACGAGAGAACAGAUUUCUCCCAGGAAAGGUUUUGUGAACUAAACGAUGCUAAUUACGGGGUGGGGGAUGCGUCGCCCGGGAAGGGGAGGCGCGCGGGGCCGAGCGCGGCCUGGGAGGGGAGAGACCGGGGCUGGCCGAGGCCCUCCCGGGGCGCCUCCCCUGCACCUCUCGCCCUGGCUUUCGCCUUUCCCUGGGAACUUUCCCGUCUGAGUUAACUAUUAACCACCGGCGAGAGGCAAUUUUCUUCGGAAUUUCAGCGAUUUCCUUUUCGCAGUGGACUCAGAUUAGCACGCAAACAGUGAGAUGCUCGGCUUGAGUCUACGCGCGGGCGAAGAUGCCUCUGUCGCCUCAAACAGUGUCCUUCGCGACGGCGGAAAACUACAGCCCGCCCCCGCUCCCGUGCCUGCUCAGGAAGCCGUGACCAAGCCAGUGCCCGCCGGUGCCCGGAGUGAAGGUGGAAAAAGCCGAGUGCUCCUGCUCGGGGGCGGGGUUGAGAGGGGGAGAUUAAUCCGGGCAAGCCAAGGGGACCUUAGACUUGCAGCCAGGGCCGCCACCCGAGGAGCCCGCAUGCAGGGACGCGCCUGAAGGCUUAGUCAAACCCGGGGAAAUGCCCUCCCCCGCCUGCAGAAUCCCCACGCCGUCUCUUACUUCCUCCCUCUUUGCCACUGGCGAGCUUACACGUGCACACACACACACCCCUCUCUGUCUGUGACCGCAACAAACUUUGUGAAACUUGAACCGCUGGGUGCAAAGUUCACGCCCUUUUCUCCUUUCCUCUCUUGCCUGGGCCGGCUCCUCCUGGAGCAGGGAGGGAAGAAGUUCUUGGCCUCCAGACCUGGGAGAGGAGUUUCCGAAAGUCAGGGCCUCGCCUCGCUGUGACAUUAGACCCUUGCCACCCACCAGACCGAUGGACACUAAACACUUUCCUUGUCGGAAGGCGCUAGUAGUUGCAGCGGCCAGGCUUGGCAGGGCCCUGGUCGACCACCCCACCACUGCCCUGGCCGGACUUUCCCAGGGCGUUGGUCUCCUGGUCCCUAUUAAGUCGGGGCUGUCCUGGGCUUGGAGCCCAGGUUCAGGGCUGUCAGCCCCUUGCCAGCUGUCUGAGCUCUCUGCCUUUCUAGUUUAUUUUCCCCCAGCUCUUGCCCUGGGUUAGCUCUCUCCCAGCCCUCCACUCUGUCUCUGUCUCCGACUCCAUCUCUGGCAGGGCUGCCACUGUCUCUCUGUCUCUCUGUCUCUCCCUGUCUCUCUGUCUCUGUCUCUCUUGUUUGUUUCAAGGCGCGGACACUGAUUGUGCCUUAUGAAGUUCUAACUGGUUUUGUGUCAGGAAGAUCUUUCUCGCCGCUACCCAGCCUGGCGUGACGGAUUAAACAUCAACUAG